GACUAUGGCCAUACCACCCAGAUUGUACCCAAUCUCAUCUGCACUUUGAAGUCAAGCCGGGGGCAGAUCUGGUUAGAAGUUAGAGAGGAGACCACUUGGGAGCAGAGGGUUUUAGUCA
Molecule: ribosomal RNA, 118 nt
Filed under: Notamacropus eugenii (tammar wallaby)
Lineage: Eukaryota; Metazoa; Chordata; Mammalia; Diprotodontia; Macropodidae
Source: RNAcentral